Electrophorus electricus (electric eel) is the source of this 342-nucleotide long non-coding RNA. The record is from Ensembl. NCBI's taxonomy places the organism in Eukaryota, Metazoa, Chordata, Actinopteri, Gymnotiformes, Gymnotidae.
UUUAUUUAUUUAUUUUUCCUUGUAUUCUUGCAGGUUUCAAAUACAGUGUAGAGAUAACUUUACACUUUAUUUCGCCCCUGUUUUGGAGCAGUUGCUGGGAGAUAUUUCUGCAUCCAGCCAAGAGCUGCUGCCCUCCUUCAUCUCUGUGACUGGGGCCAUGUGCCUGGAUCAAGUCAUUAACAGCAAGAUGGCCAACCGGGCAGAGUUUUGGGAGAGCUCUUUCACUGCCUUGGGGCGGCAUGCCAGCUGUGAACAGACGAGCGUUCUCUAUCCUCUCCUCGGCCUGAUGAUCAACAUCGCUGCAGUUCCCAAUCUUUGCAUUCAAGUAAAGUGGAAGGGGGA